UACGGAGGAUCCAAGCGUUAUCCGGAUUUAUUGGGUUUAAAGGGUGCGUAGGCGGUAUAGUAAGUCAGUGGUGAAAGCCCGCAGCUCAACUGCGGAACUGCCAUUGAUACUGCUAAACUUGAGUGUGUUUGAUGUGGGCGGAAUGUGCAGUGUAGCGGUGAAAUGCUUAGAUAUUGCACAGAACACCAAUUGCGAAGGCAGCUCACAAAACCACAACUGACGCUGAGGCACGAAAGCGUGGGGAUCAAAC
RNAcentral lists this ribosomal RNA (250 nucleotides) under uncultured bacterium. RNAcentral's name for it is "partial 16S ribosomal RNA". It matches the Rfam family "Bacterial small subunit ribosomal RNA", at positions 524 to 773 of the family's 1533-position model. The record is from RNAcentral.